Molecule: long non-coding RNA, 1805 nt
Organism: Zingiber officinale
Lineage: Eukaryota; Viridiplantae; Streptophyta; Magnoliopsida; Zingiberales; Zingiberaceae
Exons: 2
Source: RefSeq, a predicted model, not a curated record
AAAAACCACCUUCUCCAUGACUCAGUAUGCAGAGUUAUACGUUCGAGAGAUUGUCAGAUUGCAUGGGAUUCCCGUUUCUAUAGUAUCGGAUAGAGAUCCGAGGUUCACCUCGGCUUUCUGGAAAAGUUUGCAUUCGGCCAUGGGGACUAAACUAUUGUUUAGUACAGCAUUUCAUCCCCAAACAGAUGGUCAAUCAGAGAGGGUGAUAUAAAUUUUAGAAGACUUGCUGCGAGCAUGUGUGAUCGAUUUCCAGGGGGGUUGGGAAUCAAAGCUGCCGCUUGUGGAGUUCACUUAUAACAACAGUUAUCAGUCAUCUAUAGGCAUGGCUCCUUAUGAGGCACUUUAUGGAAGGAGGUGUAGAUCCCCUAUCCAUUGGGAUGAAGUGGGAGAGAGGGCAGAGGUGGGACCAGAAAUCGUGAGGCAUACAACAGACCUAGUAGCCAGGAUUAGAGAGAGAAUGAAGACUGCCCAAAGUCGGUAAAAGAGCUAUGCUGAUAAGAGGAGAAGGGACCUGGAAUUUACCGUUGGUGAUCAUGUGUUUGUGAAAAUAGCACCGAUGAAAGGUGUUAUGAGAUUUGGCAAGAGAGGUAAACUCAUCCCGAGAUUCAUUGGACCCUUCGAGAUCCUAGAUAGGGUGGGAACAUUCGCAUAUCGGGUGGCCUUGCCACCUAAUCUUGCAGGAGUGCAUAAUGUGUUCCAUGUCUCAAUGUUGCGCAAGUACAUGUCGAAUCCCUCCCAUGUGCUGAAUUUUGAACCGCUGCAGCUUACCCCAGAUCUGUCCUAUGAGGAGAGACCUAUACAGAUACUGGACCGGCAAGAGAGGAAGCUAUGGAACCGGACGGUCAGGAUGGUCAAGGUCAAAUGGUUGAACCAUGCUGACGAAGAGGCCACUUGGGAGACAGAAACUGACAUGAGGAUCCGCUACCCGGAGUUAAUUGGUAAGUUUAAAAUUUCGAGGACAAAAUUCAAUUAAGGGGGAGAUGGUUUGUAAAGUCCAAUCUUUUUUAAAAAAAAGAGAGAAAUCCAAGGGGAACAUAGAAAUAAACUCUUUGUUUUACUUAAAGGGAGCUAAAUUGCUAAUAACCAAUUAAUGAACACUUGGGCUUAGCCCAAUUGGUAAAGAAUGGGCCAAACCCUAAGGAUUUGGUUCUUAUAAGGGGUCGGCAGUGAAGAGAGAAAAAAAAGAAGAGGGGUUUCGGCGGAAGAAAAGGAAGAGGAGGGAGGUCUCGAAGGAAGGAAGGGAAAGGGGGCGUCUCACCAUUGUUCGUCGUCACCACCUGCGCCAACACCGGGUCUCCGAAAACAAGGCACCUCUUAGACUCCUUUCUUCUUUCCACUCGUUAGAGUCUGUUUUUCUUCUUGCUUUCCUCUGUUUUCACAAUGGCUUCCCAGCAUUUUUUUUUCCAGCCUUUUAACCCAUAAACGCAGCAAGUUUUGAGGGUUCCUUAGGCUAUCUGCAGGAGGUAAGGAUGAAUGCUUUGGUUCAGUUGGCCAGCAGAGGUUCUUGGUGGUUGCGGUUAUUGGUUGAUUGGGUGGAGGAUAAAGGAUUUGUAUCGAUCUCUGGUGAAGUUUUCGUUUUCCCCAAGUAGUGUUGAGGGGAAAGGGAGUAGGUGAAGAAACAAACGACGUUGGAGGCUUAGACCCUUGACCAGACUGGACUGGACAGUACACUCCCGAGGACUCACUGAUUUCCGCAUAAAGAAUAAAUAAACAGCAUUUAUGAUUUAGAGAGAGUGAAUUUGCUUUCAAUUUAAAUUCCUAGGAUGUAUGACUAGAUUAUCAAUAACAAACAAUUUUCUUAUUCA